Molecule: long non-coding RNA, 974 nt
Organism: Phyllopteryx taeniolatus (common seadragon)
Lineage: Eukaryota; Metazoa; Chordata; Actinopteri; Syngnathiformes; Syngnathidae
Exons: 3
Source: RefSeq, a predicted model, not a curated record
AUGACGCACACUCCUGGUCAGGCCCACGUCUUAUAAAAGCCAAAAACUUGCAAUUUUAGUGCUCUUGUUCUCCCGGUGGACAGCAACUGAGGUUAACUGCUUCGUCUCAUUUCUAACUUUGUGUAAGACGCAGGAUGAUUAGAGAGGCAGUUUAAAAAAUUAUCAUUUGAAAAGGCUUUAUAGCGAAUGGGCGAGAACAAAAUAGACGAGUUUAGCAACGACCAGAGGGACUGGAGCCAUUGACCUCUCUCUUCUUAACCCACACCUCUUGGACUUUCACAUUUUGGACUUUUUUUAUUAUCCAUCAAUUGAAACUUUGAAUAUAAACAAAUGCUUUCCUUGAAUUUAUGUUUUUGGAUUGUUUUGGUUUUCUUUUCAAAGGCUUGGAACAUUUCAUUUGUGAAGUCAAAGCCGCUACCAUGCCGCUCCGUCUCUGCCAGAGCUCUACGCACAAUAGACAAUAGCUCAUCAUCACAUGGCCGUCACGUCAAUGCCCCAGAUUCAACAUGACCGCCACGUAGGCACGAGAGGCACCUGUUUUGGAAUUGGAUCGAGUCAACUGUAUAACUGUGACUCGGAAAUAGAAGAUACACCAAGUACUCUCCUGCCUGCUUCUCUGAUCACCUUGGCUGCAGUGGUCCGGUCUUCUGGAAGCUCUUCCCGUCCACCGAGAGCCUGUAUCACCUCUUCCCGAAAAGCUGCACAACACUCGUCCUGUCUCAGCUUCCACCACAUGGUUCUCUUCUCUGCCUUUGUCUUCCUAAUUUUCCUCCCCACCAUCAGAGUCAUCUUACACACCACCAUCCUAUGCUGUCUAGCCACACUCUCCCCUACCACUACCUUACAGUUGGUAACCUCCUUCAGAUUACAUCGUCUGCACAAGAUGUAAUCCACCUGUGUGCUUCUACCUCCGCUCUUGUAGGUCACCCUAUGUUCGUGCCUCUUCUGGAAAAAAGUGUUCACUACAGCCAUUU